RNAcentral lists this non-coding RNA (93 nucleotides) under unclassified sequences. Its description in RNAcentral is "SAM-I-IV sequence". It matches the Rfam family "SAM-I/IV (S-adenosyl methionine) riboswitch aptamer". From Rfam's summary of the family: It is found upstream of a number of genes which code for proteins involved in methionine or cysteine biosynthesis. The record is from Rfam by way of RNAcentral.
CAUAAGCAUCAAGAACACUAAUUGUGUACCAACCGAUCUUCCGAGACACGGUGGUUUAGAAUGCGGGACAAUCGUUCAAAAGAUUCGGAAAUC